CAGCAGCCGCGGGAAUACGUAGGGGGCAAGCGUUAUCCGGAAUAACUGGGCGUAAAGGGUGCGCAGGUGGUUUAACAAGUUAGUGGUGAAAGGCAUAGGCUCAACCAAUGUAAGCCAUUAAAACUGUUUAACUUGAGUGCAGGAGAGGAAAGUGGAAUUCCUAGUGUAGCGGUGAAAUGCGUAGAUAUUAGGAGGAAUACCAGUGGCGAAGGCGACUUUCUGGACUGCAACUGACACUGAGGCACGAAAGCGUGGGGAGCAAACAGGAUUAGAUACCCCAGUAGUCCCUGUCUCUUAUACA
This 301-nucleotide ribosomal RNA is filed under the name uncultured bacterium. RNAcentral's name for it is "partial 16S ribosomal RNA". It matches the Rfam family "Bacterial small subunit ribosomal RNA", at positions 509 to 808 of the family's 1533-position model. The record is from RNAcentral.